UGCCACAAACACAUGAUCCACCAAACUGCCGCCUUUAAGGAAGAAAAGAUCCAAAAAUCUAACUUCAAGUGCUGGGGCAGGAGGACUAACACGAUAAAUCUGACAGACUGUAAGAGUCCAUUGGCUGAGAACUGUACUGUAGGCCGGCAUACAGAACACCUCCAUCUAACUGGACGUGUCUUUCAGAGUCUCUUGGGUCCUCCUGUCCCAGGGAUUUCUGAGGGAAGAGCCAUGAUUAAUAAAUUGUUACUUGGAUUCAGAAGGUUGUUGGAGCCGUGGCCGUGGAUAAGCCGAGAUGAAUAUGGCAACAUGGAGAUUAUUAAUUUGUGUAAUGAUCCUUGUAUGAUCCAGCUAGCUUGUUUCUCUGAAGAAAUGUUUUAUCAUCAUAAAAUAAAGGUUUAUAUUACCUUCCAGGACAUUUAUGGUGCAACAGGGAAUAAUACUAAGACAGUAGAUAAACUCAAGAAACUGUGCCAUGAACAAGAUACUUUAAUUAAACAUAGAUUAUCAAGAUUGAAGAAUAAAGUUAACGAAAAACACUGUAGAUCUAAAUUUAAAUAUUUAAAAGGAGGCGAUGAUGAGACAUUAAAAAACAACAGUUAAAUUAUCAAAAACUAUAUCACAACAGAAAUUAAGAAAAUAACAGAUGAAAAAAG
Long non-coding RNA from Sinocyclocheilus rhinocerous, 656 nucleotides. RefSeq lists it as uncharacterized. Lineage: Eukaryota; Metazoa; Chordata; Actinopteri; Cypriniformes; Cyprinidae. The record is from RefSeq and is a predicted model, not a curated record. The transcript has 3 exons.